Non-coding RNA from Meleagris gallopavo (turkey), 2977 nucleotides. The record is from RefSeq and is a predicted model, not a curated record. NCBI's taxonomy places the organism in Eukaryota, Metazoa, Chordata, Aves, Galliformes, Phasianidae.
AAUGGUUAUGGCAGGGGAAGGGCGCUUAGUAAGAUUGACUUGUUUGUUAAAAUGCCUCUUGUGGACAAUUUUUAGUGUAUGAAAGCUGAACAGCAAUCUUCAAAGCGUUUUGUGCUCUGGAAGGGACUCACCUGUUGUCUUUUUCAUUUGUCAGUGUUGAAUAACUUUGCCAAAAUACGUGAUUGGUUUUGUUCUAUGUUCUCAAAGAGGAAUCUCCUACAGUGGCCCCUAUAGUAGUGGCUGUACUUUGGGAAAACCAAAACAAGGGAGAAUUUUAUCUUGGGACGCACCUGGAAAACACUGAUGUAACACCAAGUGAGAUCAGGUUCCUUUCCUCCUCCCCCUCACACGCGUGCAAGAGGUGGCAGUAAACACUAACCCAGAACCAUUUGUGUAUUUCUAGUUAAACUAGACCUCCAGGUGUCGUCUGUGUGCUGUGUGGGUUUGGGGAAAGCCCUGUAGCUCUUAUCAAAGCUGUAUUACACUCCUGUUCCCUACGUUCAGUAUUUUUGGGGGAAGAAUUACUACUUUUUUUUUCCAAUCAGCGUUGUAAGCUUUUGCCAAAUGUUGGGUGGGCUGCUGGCAGUGAGGAGAGCAGCUCCUGAGGAGCCUCUGCUCUGUGCAGUGCUGUGUGGGGGCUGCGUGGCUCCAGGGUUUGCCGUCCCUUCUCAGUGAUGAAAUUGCAGUCCCUUGUUUUGGGUUCCCCCUUUCUUUAUCAUGGAAAUGUUGCAACUAAUCAACUGAAGUGGCAAUAUGAUGAUAAGCUUGUUUGAGUUGGGUCAUGUUGACCCGAUUCCCAUUAAUUUUGUCUUUGUACCAUCUUUCAUGUGUCUCGUGCGUGUGUAUAUACAUAUAUAUAUAAAAAGAAAAAUAAUCCAGCUCAUGCCAGGUGCGUUCCCUAUCACAGCAGUGAUCUCAGCUGUUUUCUUUCCCGAUGGACGAUGCCAAGCCUGGAUAGAAACCCUGUGUGCACAGUGAGAAGGUGGAGGACAGCAGGAAGAGGAGCUGCAGCUGCUGCUGAGAUGUGCUGCGCUGGAGGAUGGCAGAUGUGGCUCUCGAGUGUCCACGGAUCUGCUUUGGGUGUGCAGAGCGGUGGUGAUGGGCAGCCGAAGCCAAAGUGGUGAUGUCCUCCCGCGGCCUUUGCCUGCUCUCCCCACGAGGUCUCCUCCUCCCGCAGCCGUUGCAGCCGCGCUCUCCGUCCUGCAGCAGUUUCUCCUGGCGCUGUCAGGAUCUGAGUCGCCGUCCUGCCCCCAUCGCGCACAGAUCUGUCGUCACUGCUGCUGCCCAUGGGGCCAAGAACACUGCAGUGGUGUUCCUGAGCCUGGCUGGAAGCACGCGGGGCUUUUGCCCACAGCUGUGGCAUCGUCCUGCCCUGGAAGCGACUUUAUUUGUGAAGUCUGACGAGCAUUGAUGGGAAUUUUGUUCGGUUUUUAUAAGAAGUAUUUUACACAUGGAUUUUUUUAGACUCUUUAUAAUCUCCUUGAAAACCCAAAAUAGGAUUGUUCCCCCAGCAAUAGUUCUCCUCCAUUGUGUGCACAUGCUGAUUUGUUACUAAAAGGUUUCUUGCAAGUACUUAGUUGUUCUACAGAGUUGUUGUUUUUUGGGGUAUGUGGUAGCGUUGGGGACCACAGGAGGAACGACUCUGCAAACAAAGGAUGGUCGAAUUCGGGCCUCAUCUUGUGUCCCCUCCUAGUUGCAUAUGGACGAGUUCCCUGUGUAGAUUCUCUAUAGGCUGGCUGAAUGCUGUUCUGGACAUGCCGUGUACAGGUAUUUGUGGAUAACGUGUUUGUUCUUGUGUCACUCUUGAGAGCAUGGAUGGAUUAUUGUUCAAUAGGAAGGAGGUGGCAGUGCUGCUGUCAGCAUUGCUUCAGGUCUUCGAGGACGUGUAGUAGCAUUUGCAUUGUUUAAAAAAGGAAAAAAUAUAUAUAUCCAAAAUUGACUUCUAGCCAUAACAGUUUUUCCAUGGAAAGUGGACAGAACUCGGUUACUUUCGUGUCCUUCACCUCGAGCCUGAAGGCACGGAUAAGUGCUGAUCAGUCUGAAGGCUUUCAGAGUUGCUUUGAAUUGAAUGGCGUUGGAGGUUAAGAUCAGGACGCAGCUUUUCCUUUGUCCUUGGCCUUCGUCUUAAAGGGCCAAAGAAGGGUCAGGAGAAUUUUCCUGUUGUCUUGGUCUGGUAUGUAUUAAGCCUUGAGGCUUUGAUAACUGACAUUUACUAUUAAAAAAGGAAGAAAACAAAAGGCAGUAAGGCUGGCUGGCUCCCGGAGCGCCGGCUGAGGAGUAGCGGACGCGUUGGUGACAAGACUGGCUGUGCUGUGGUCAGGCUGAACACGUGGAAGUGCAAUGACUGCCACCAGUUCUCAUAGUGCUGAGUGCUGCGCCAGCAUCAGAACUAGCAGAGAAACGGAUGCAACAAUCCAGGAACGGUUUGUCAGAUCUCGGUGGUGUUUGAUGGUGAGAGGUUCAAACUCCCCUCCCGGAGCUUGCCCCAUUCUGUUCUCUGCGAGCAGAGACCCACAUCCCACCUUCCAAAGCACUGGAGCACAGUUGGAGCUCCUGUCCCAGCCCAGGUUCACCUCAAUGCUACAGCCAUCCCACGUGGUACUUCUGAAAGGUGAGAACUGCUCGGUGUUGCUGUCAUGGGGGCACAAAAUAGCCAUCAAAAACUGAAGAGAUGAGUUUGCACUCCUAAAGAAAAAUGUAAGUACUUCAACUAGAUAAUUUUUAAUUGUAUUUCUGCCUAGAGGUAUUAAAUACCUUCUCUCACUUGAGGAUUUUCAGAGUUGUGUUGGGAAAUGAAUUCUGCUCUCAGCUGUAAGAAAUUCAGCUGGCCCAAGACUAACUUCAAGAUGAAAAAAAUAAUCAUGUUUGUAAUACGUUACAGGAUUGUUUGUCCUGAAUUUUAAACCUUUUUGUUAAAUUUGUGGAACUACGGAGGAAUUUUCUAGAAAAAGUGAAAUAAAGUAAGAUGGAAAAGUAC